UACAGAGGGUGCGAGCGUUAAUCGGAAUUACUGGGCGUAAAGGGCGCGUAGGUGGUUGAUUAAGUCAGAUGUGAAAUCCCUGGGCUUAACCUAGGAAUUGCGUUUGAAACUGAUGAGCUAGAGUAUGGGAGAGGGAAGUGGAAUUUCCGGUGUAGCGGUGAAAUGCGUAGAUAUCGGAAGGAACACCAGUGGCGAAGGCGACUUCCUGGCCUGAUACUGACACUGAGGCGCGAAAGCGUGGGGAGCGAACAGG
RNAcentral lists this ribosomal RNA (253 nucleotides) under uncultured bacterium. RNAcentral's name for it is "partial 16S ribosomal RNA". It matches the Rfam family "Bacterial small subunit ribosomal RNA", at positions 524 to 776 of the family's 1533-position model. The record is from RNAcentral.